Molecule: long non-coding RNA, 1222 nt
Organism: Gossypium arboreum
Lineage: Eukaryota; Viridiplantae; Streptophyta; Magnoliopsida; Malvales; Malvaceae
Exons: 2
Source: RefSeq, a predicted model, not a curated record
UAAAAUAUUUAUUUUUACAUAAUAAAAAUUAAAAUUAAUUAUAAAUGUAAUAAAAUAUUUAACUUAGUAUUUCAAAGACCAUCCAUGCACCACGUUGGAGUUGGUUUUUCUUAGCUCUACUCUUUUAGGACAAUGACACAAAAAGAGAAUACCCACAUGAAGAGGUUCUUAGCUAGGUACAUGGGGAAGGGUUAGCAAAUUAUCCAUUAGUUGCUACAUGAGGAAUGCACUACAAAAAUUUGAGGCUUCAUAUUGAGCCCUAGGCGUUUGGUUGGAGGAGCAAUUCCUUCUCCACGGCCCUCACUUCAUCUAAUAUGUAAACCUUUUUGAAUUUGCCCAAAAAUGUUGGAUUUGUACGUACGAUGAUUAAAGGGUGCAAGGCUCCAUAAACUCAAUUUUACCAUAUCUUCCUCUUUCGUGAAAGCAUACAUACAUACAUACACACACACAGUAGCACAUAAGCAAAUUGAUUAAGGAGAAGAUGGAUGUUUAAACCUGAAGUAGUAAAGAAAACAUGGUGCCCAAUGAGCCCUCCAGGACCGGAUUUCUCUCGCUCUUGUCAGUUGUCAUCGAAUCACCUUCUCCAAUUCAAACGCCUAGGGCUGUGGAGAAGGAAUUGCUCCUCCCAAACAAACGCCUAGGGCUCAAUCUGAAGCCUCAAAUUCUUGUGGUGCAUUCCUCCUAUAGCAACUAACGGAUAAUUUGGUAAUCAAGAAUAUUGACAUUCCACAAUAACAAGUCACACAAUGGCAACCAAUCAAUGCCACCAAAUACAGUCAAAUCAUCCGGCUGUCCUUCAGGCACCUGCUAAUCUCUAAUGGGUCAAAGAAGCCUAAGUAUGAAGACUCAGACAUGAAGAGGAGAAACUUGAUCACUUUCCAUGGUAGAUUGCAGGGAGGUUAGAAAAUUAGUCAUACCUCGAAUUUUGAAUCAAAAGCUAGAGAAGAAAAUAAGAAAGAUGCAUGCAUUAAUUCUCAGCAGAUGGCCUGAAAUUAAAAGGACUGCCUAGUUUUGUUAUGUUAAGCUACACAUGGAAGAUUAAUGCCAACGAGGUAUUGAAUGUGGGGUGCAUGUACAAUUCGUGACCUUAUGACUAAUUUAUCAAUGUAUCACGUACCAGGGCUGCUUAAGUUUGUAUCCAGGCCUAUGGGUCUUGGAAAUAUUUUAUUAAGAGAUAAGUUGGCCAUUAUUAAUACUCAUAAUGGAAAAUUUUUGGUAAAAA